UCCGGUCCACACAUUGGACUGAAGAAUUCACCAGACUCUACGGAAGCAGCAGUACGGAAGUUUGCACAUGACGGAAGGUCUGAUUGAGCCAUGGCGCGUGAGGUGAUGACCGUCCUCCGAAUGUAAAGCUCUGUUGUAAGGAGAAAUACUAGAAGAGGAAAUGCUUUAGUUUGACGUACUUACCAGAAAGCCACGGCUAACUAUGUGCCAGCAGCCGCGGUAAUACAUAGGUGGCAAGCGUUAUCCGGGAUUUAUUGGGCGUAUAGGGUGCGUAGGCGGUUAGUUAAGUUUGAGGUCAAAGCCCGGGGCUCAACCCCGGUUCGCCCUUGAAAACUGGCUGACUAGAAUACAGGAGAGGUAGAUGGAAUUCCAUGUGUAGCGGUGAAAUGCGUAGAUAUAUGGAGGAACACCAGUGGCGUAGGCGGUCUACUGGCCUGUUAUUGACGCUGAGGCACGAAAGCGUGGGGAGCAAAUAGGAUUAGAUACCCUAGUAGUCCACGCCGUAAACGUUGAGUACUAAGUGUCGGCAUUAUGUCGGUGCUGCAGCUAACGCACUAAGUACUCCGCCUGAGUAGUAUGCUCGCAAGAGUGAAACUCAAAGGAAUUGACGGGGACCCGCACAAGUGGUGGAGCAUGUGGUUUAAUUCGAAGCAACGCGAAGAACCUUACCAGGGCUUGACAUCCAGUGCAAAGCUACAGAGAUGUAGUGGAGGUUAACAUUGAGACAGGUGGUGCAUGGUUGUCGUCAGCUCGUGCCGUGAGGUGUUGGGUUAAGUCCCGCAACGAGCGCAACCCUUAUCAUUAGUUACUAACAUUCAGUUGAGCACUCUAAUGAGACUGCUAGUGUAAGCUAGAGGAAGGUGGGGAUGACGUCAAAUCAUCAUGCCCCUUAUGUCCUGGGCUACACACGUGCUACAAUGGCUGGUACAAAGAGUUGCAAUCCCGCGAGGGGGAGCUAAUCUCAAAAAGCCAGUCUCAGUUCGGAUUGAAGUCUGCAACUCGACUUCAUGAAGCCGGAAUCACUAGUAAUCGCGAAUCAGCAAUGUCGCGGUGAAUACGUUCUCGGGUCUUGUACACACCGCCCGUCACACCAUGAGAGUUGGUAAUACCAGAAGUAUGUAUCUUAACCGCAAGGAGGGAGCGUACCAAGGUAGGACUAGCGAUUAGGGUGAAGUCGUAACAAGGUAACCGUA
This 1193-nucleotide ribosomal RNA is filed under the name uncultured Spiroplasma sp. Its description in RNAcentral is "bacterial SSU rRNA". It matches the Rfam family "Bacterial small subunit ribosomal RNA", at positions 299 to 1504 of the family's 1533-position model. The record is from RNAcentral. Lineage: Bacteria; Bacillati; Mycoplasmatota; Mollicutes; Entomoplasmatales; Spiroplasmataceae.